RNAcentral lists this ribosomal RNA (465 nucleotides) under uncultured bacterium. Its description in RNAcentral is "partial 16S ribosomal RNA". It matches the Rfam family "Bacterial small subunit ribosomal RNA", at positions 28 to 507 of the family's 1533-position model. The record is from RNAcentral.
GACGAACGCUGGCGGCGUGCUUAACACAUGCAAGUCGAACGGAAAGGCCCUGCUUGCAGGGUACUCGAGUGGCGAACGGGUGAGUAACACGUGGGUGAUCUGCCCUGCACUUCGGGAUAAGCCUGUGAAACUGGGUCUAAUACCGGAUAGGAGCCAUUUUUAGUGUGAUGGUUGGAAAGUUUUUUCGGUGUAGGAUGAGCUCGCUGCCUAUCAGCUUGUUGGUGGGGUAAUGUCCUACCAAGGCGGCGACGGGUAGCCGGACUGCGAGGGUGGACGGCCACACUGGGACUGAGAUAAGGCCCAGACUCCUACGGGAGGCAGCAGUGGGGAAUAUUGCACAAUGGGCGCAAGCUUGAUGCAGCGAGGCUGCGUGGGGGAUGACGGCCUUAGGGUUGUAAACUCCUUUCGCUAGGGACGAAGCUUUUUGUGACGGUACCUAGAUAAGAAGCACCGGCUAACUACGUG